RNAcentral lists this long non-coding RNA (1862 nucleotides) under Androctonus crassicauda. The record is from RNAcentral. Lineage: Eukaryota; Metazoa; Arthropoda; Arachnida; Scorpiones; Buthidae.
UAAAAGAAUAAUUAUUAUUCUUUUGUCCGUUUAAUCAAUAAAAUAUCUCCGAUUGUGUCCAUUAAAAUUAAAUAUUAGAAUUUUUUCGUUAUGCAUUAUUCAGUUUUCCCCUCUUUGAUACGUUUUAAAUUGGAUAAUUAAGGAUGGCAAAUUUUGUUUCGAAUUUAUUUAAAAAUUAAUAAUAAAUUGUAUGACUUGCCGGGAAUUCUUGUUUUUGUGCAUUGAAAUCAAUAUCAUGUGUCACGAUGCAAAAUCAGGUCACUGAAUCAACUUCACACAGGCUUACCAAUUCACUCUUGACAGUUUUAUGGAACAUUGCCCAAAUCGAAAUUCGUGAUUUUCAUUAAUACAUUUUUUUUUACGUUUAUGAAUGAUUUAAGUCGACUAGUAUCUAUAAGAUUUUCUAUUUACAUAUGCGGUUGCGUGGCCACGUUCGCCAGCGUAUCUUUCAGCUUUUUUUUUAAUAAAUAUUGUUAUCUUGUCAGAACUCUAAUUAAGAAAGAAAAAAAAAGAUUAAGCGAAAUCCGUCGAGGGGGAAAAAUAUCUUCCCAACAGAAGAUAGAUUUAGUUGGAAAGCUAAAGCUGGCUUAACAGGAAGACAAGCAACUCAUGCGAGGUCAACAUUUCGACCAGGAACGUGUAGCAUGUCGGGACACAAAGGGGUGGAGGCCGUACACGGCACUCUGAGUUGUUAUGCAUUUUAAUGUUUGCGGCGAAAUGCUCUGAACUUUAUCCGCAGUAACGAUACCCGAGGCAGGACGCAAGUAGUCGACUGACCGGCCAAAAAUCGUGACCACUGUGGUGUGGUCGACAUCACGCUACCCAUCAUCCUCCCUAUAACCUCUAAUAACAACGGGCUCCGCCCCGGGACGGGUCGGCGGAGGUCAGGUCACUAACCGAAUGGUUCCCUCCAAACCAAUCGUUUAUACUUUACUACAGCUUCUCUAUAAACCCAUUUCGUUAUUUGCUUCCAUUUGCAUAUUCGUGUAAUUUACGAGUGAGAUGCCCUUCUAUCUAGAGAUAGGAAGUUUUCCCAUGACCUCUUUUCUCGCUUCACGAUAUCUCCUACUAAAGAGUGCAACAUAUAUAUAUAUAUAUAAUACGUAGAGGAUUAUCUUCCGUGUCCAUUUAUCUUCCCUCUGGGAUUAAUCGAAUAGUUAGUUUUUUACAGAAAUUACACUUCGACAAUACUAUAUAUUCUUCAUCUCGCUUCAUUGAGAUUGUAGAAAGAUAGAAAUCUUGUAUUGGAAAGAUGCUCAUUUUCAUGCGAUCCUUCGAAGAUUGUUUAGAUUUUUUUUGAGGCGUAUGUUAGAGAGUACGAAUUCUUAACGAUGUAAUAUGUUACCAGAUUUAAAUCGAUUAGAAACAUGAUUACGCAGUUUGCUUAGUGACCUUGAACAUUUCUUUGCCACCUGUCGUCUUAAUAACCUUGAGGCUGUAGCCAGUAGUAACUUUAAAAAAUCCCUACAGGCAUUUCUGCCAUUCUCACGCCGGAUCAACAUAAGAAAAGGAGAUAGAAAUAAUUUGGAUUAGAAUCACAACCGAAAAAACCUGCUCCUUUAAUCAAUUCAUUGAGCCUUGACUGUUUAUGGAUUAUUUAUUUUUAUUGUUUAGCCUUUCUUCACCCAUAUUUUCAAGGAAAAUGCCCAGAAACCAUUUACGGUUAUCAGUUUAAUUGAAACGACAGCAAAAGCAAAUAUAAAGUGCAUUAAUGUAUAUUUAUAACUUUAUUUUACUUCUUGUUUAUUAUAUAGGCUAUAUAUUAAUGGACAGCUAUGUAUUUUUAAUGUAAACAAUAUCGAUUAUGUCAAUUCGUCAAAAGUAAUUAUUAAAGCGAAAAAAAUCGAAAUUUUUUAAAUGCC